RNAcentral lists this ribosomal RNA (253 nucleotides) under uncultured bacterium. Its description in RNAcentral is "partial 16S ribosomal RNA". It matches the Rfam family "Bacterial small subunit ribosomal RNA", at positions 524 to 776 of the family's 1533-position model. The record is from RNAcentral.
UACGGGGGGAGCAAGCGUUGUUCGGAUUUACUGGGCGUAAAGAGCGCGCAGGCGGUCGUUCAAGUCGAGUGUGAAAGCCCCCGGCUCAACUGGGGAGGGUCAUUCGAUACUGAUCGACUGGAAGGCAGGAGAGGGAAGCGGAAUUCCCGGUGUAGUGGUGAAAUGCGCAGAUAUCAGGAGGAACACCGGUGGCGAAGGCGGGUCUCUGGGCCGAAAUUGACGCUGAGGAGCGAAAGCGUGGGGAGCAAACAGG